UACGUAGGGUGCGAGCGUUAAUCGGAAUUACUGGGCGUAAAGCGUGCGCAGGCGGUUUUGUAAGACAGUCGUGAAAUCCCCGGGCUCAACCUGGGAAUUGCGAUUGUGACUGCAAGGCUGGAGUGCGGCAGAGGGGGAUGGAAUUCCGCGUGUAGCAGUGAAAUGCGUAGAUAUGCGGAGGAACACCGAUGGCGAAGGCAAUCCCCUGGGCCUGCACUGACGCUCAUGCACGAAAGCGUGGGGAGCAAACAGG
Molecule: ribosomal RNA, 253 nt
Filed under: uncultured bacterium
Lineage: Bacteria
Description: partial 16S ribosomal RNA
Rfam family: Bacterial small subunit ribosomal RNA
Source: RNAcentral